GAUGAACGCUGGCGGCGUGCCUAAUACAUGCAAGUCGAGCGAACAGACGAGGAGCUUGCUCCUCUGACGUUAGCGGCGGACGGGUGAGUAACACGUGGAUAACCUACCUAUAAGACUGGGAUAACUUCGGGAAACCGGAGCUAAUACCGGAUAAUAUAUUGAACCGCAUGGUUCAAUAGUGAAAGACGGUUUUGCUGUCACUUAUAGAUGGAUCCGCGCCGCAUUAGCUAGUUGGUAAGGUAACGGCUUACCAAGGCAACGAUGCGUAGCCGACCUGAGAGGGGGAGGGGCAAAACUGGAACUGAGACAGGGCCCAGAUCCCAAGGGGGGGCAGAAGAGGGGAAAUUUCCGAAAGGGGCGAAAGCCGAAGGGGGAAAGGCCGGGGGAGGGAGAAAGGUUUUGGGAUCGGAAAAAUUUUUUAUUAGGGAAAAAAAAAUGGGAAAGUAAAUAGGCACGGUUGGAGGGAAACAAAUAAGAAAGCAACGGCAAACUACGG
This 496-nucleotide ribosomal RNA is filed under the name uncultured bacterium. RNAcentral's name for it is "partial 16S ribosomal RNA". It matches the Rfam family "Bacterial small subunit ribosomal RNA", at positions 28 to 506 of the family's 1533-position model. The record is from RNAcentral.